RNAcentral lists this ribosomal RNA (465 nucleotides) under Vreelandella stevensii. Its description in RNAcentral is "partial 16S ribosomal RNA". It matches the Rfam family "Bacterial small subunit ribosomal RNA", at positions 338 to 795 of the family's 1533-position model. The record is from RNAcentral. Lineage: Bacteria; Pseudomonadati; Pseudomonadota; Gammaproteobacteria; Oceanospirillales; Halomonadaceae.
CCUACGGGAGGCAGCAGUGGGGAAUAUUGGACAAUGGGGGCAACCCUGAUCCAGCCAUGCCGCGUGUGUGAAGAAGGCCCUCGGGUUGUAAAGCACUUUCAGUGAGGAAGAACGCCUGGUGGUUAAUACCCAUCAGGAAAGACAUCACUCACAGAAGAAGCACCGGCUAACUCCGUGCCAGCAGCCGCGGUAAUACGGAGGGUGCGAGCGUUAAUCGGAAUUACUGGGCGUAAAGCGCGCGUAGGUGGCUUGAUAAGCCGGUUGUGAAAGCCCCGGGCUCAACCUGGGAACGGCAUCCGGAACUGUCAAGCUAGAGUGCAGGAGAGGAAGGUAGAAUUCCCGGUGUAGCGGUGAAAUGCGUAGAGAUCGGGAGGAAUACCAGUGGCGAAGGCGGCCUUCUGGACUGACACUGACACUGAGGUGCGAAAGCGUGGGUAGCAAACAGGAUUACAUACCCCAGUAGUC